GCCGAUGUGGCGGAACUGGCAGACGCGCUGCGUUCAGGGCGCAGUGGGCAAUGGCCCGUGGGGGUUCGAAUCCCUCCAUCGGCA
This 84-nucleotide transfer RNA is filed under the name Clostridia bacterium. RNAcentral describes it as "tRNA-Leu". It matches the Rfam family "tRNA". From Rfam's summary of the family: Transfer RNA (tRNA) molecules are approximately 80 nucleotides in length. Their secondary structure includes four short double-helical elements and three loops (D, anti-codon, and T loops). The record is from RNAcentral. Lineage: Bacteria; Bacillati; Bacillota; Clostridia.